AAAAGAUGAGUAUGCGUCCCAUUAGCUAGAUGGUAAGGUAACGGCUUGCCAUGGCAACGAUGGGUAGGGGUCCUGAGAGGGAGAUCCCCCACACUGGUACUGAGACACGGACCAGACUCCUACGGGAGGCAGCAGUGAGGAAUAUUGGACAAUGGGCGCAAGCCUGAUCCAGCCAUGCCGCGUGCAGGAAGACGGUCCUAUGGAUUGUAAACUGCUUUUAUACAGGAAGAAACACCUCUACGUGUAGAGACUUGACGGUACUGUAUGAAUAAGCAUCGGCUAACUCCGUGCCAGCAGCCGCGGUAAUACGGAGGAUGCAAGCGUUAUCCGGAAUCAUUGGGUUUAAAGGGUCCGUAGGCGGUUUAAUAAGUCAGUGGUGAAAGCCCAUCGCUCAACGAUGGAACGGCCAUUGAUACUGUUAAACUUGAAUUAUUAGGAAGUAACUAGAAUAUGUAGUGUAGCGGUGAAAUGCUUAGAGAUUACAUGGAAUACCAAUUGCGAAGGCAGGUUACUACUAAUAAUUGACGCUGAUGGACGAAAGCGUGGGGAGCGAACAGGAUUAGAUACCCUGGUAGUCCACGCCGUAAACGAUGGAUACUAGCUGUUCGGAGCAAUCUGAGUGGCUAAGCGAAAGUGAU
Molecule: ribosomal RNA, 638 nt
Filed under: uncultured Bacteroidota bacterium
Lineage: Bacteria; Pseudomonadati; Bacteroidota
Description: bacterial SSU rRNA
Rfam family: Bacterial small subunit ribosomal RNA
Source: RNAcentral